GAGACUCUGUGCGCGUGCAUAUCAAUAAGCGGAGGAAAAGAAACUAACAAGGAUUCCCCUUAGUAACGGCGAGUGAAGCGGGAAGAGCUCAAAUUUGAAAUCUUCAAGGUUUUACCUUGACGAAUUGUAGUUUAUAGAAGUGUUUUCUGUUAGUAGAGUUUGGUAAAAGUUCUUUGGAAUAGGACAUCAUAGAGGGUGAGAAUCCCGUAUUUGGUCAUUCUUCCUAGCGUUGUGAUACACUUUCAACGAGUCGGAUUGUUUGGGAAUGCAGUCCAAAAUGGGUGGUAAAUUUCAUCUAAAGCUAAAUAUUGGCGAGAGACCGAUAGCGAACAAGUACCGUGAGGGAAAGAUGAAAAGAACUUUGAAAAGAGAGUUAAACAGUACGUGAAAUUGUCAAAAGGGAAGCGUUUGACACCAGUGUUGUUUUUCCGAAAAUCAAUUACGAAUGUUUUAUUUUUAAGAAGUUAUGACUUCAUCGGCUUGCUUCUUUCUUUACGAAACUUUCUUAAUGCACUUUUCGGUUAACAAGUCAACAUCAAUUUCUUUUGUUGUAAAAGGGUAUGAGGAAGGUGGCUUUCUUUUCGGAGAAAGUGUUUAUAGCCUUGUGCCUCUGCAAUCGGAGAGAUUGAGGUCUGCAGCGUAGAUCCUUCGGGGUUAGAUACAUUUGUGCUAAGUUAUAGCUUUUCAUAGACAACUUGUUGACUAUGUUUAGUCUUGUAGCUUACUCGCUUAUGCUAUUUUACCUACGCUUAGGAUGUUGAGUCGUAGAGCACGCAG
Molecule: ribosomal RNA, 777 nt
Filed under: uncultured Neocallimastigales
Lineage: Eukaryota; Fungi; Neocallimastigomycota; Neocallimastigomycetes; Neocallimastigales
Description: partial large subunit ribosomal RNA
Rfam family: Eukaryotic large subunit ribosomal RNA
Source: RNAcentral